Molecule: ribosomal RNA, 372 nt
Filed under: uncultured bacterium
Lineage: Bacteria
Description: bacterial SSU rRNA
Rfam family: Bacterial small subunit ribosomal RNA
Source: RNAcentral
GUAGUCCACGCCGUAAACGAUGAAUACUAGGUGUCGGGGGUCGAACCUCGGUGCCGCAGUUAACACAAUAAGUAUUCCGCCUGGGGAGUACGAUCGCAAGAUUAAAACUCAAAGGAAUUGACGGGGGCCCGCACAAGCAGCGGAGCAUGUGGUUUAAUUCGAAGCAACGCGAAGAACCUUACCUAGACUUGACAUCCCCUGCAUAACCCAGAGAUGGGCGAAGUCCUUCGGGACAGGGUGACAGGUGGUGCAUGGUUGUCGUCAGCUCGUGUCGUGAGAUGUUGGGUUAAGUCCCGCAACGAGCGCAACCCUUAUCAUUAGUUGCUACCAUUAAGUUGAGCACUCUAGUGAGACUGCCCGGGUUAACCGGGA